GACGAACGCUGGCGGCGUGCUUAACACAUGCAAGUCGAACGGAAAGGCCCCUUUGGGGGUACUCGAGUGGCGAACGGGUGAGUAACACGUGCGUAACCUGCCCUUGACUUCGGGAUAACUUCAGGAAACUGGGGCUAAUACCGGAUAGGAAUCCUUGCUGCAUGGUGGGGGUUGGAAAGCUUCGGCGGUUUUGGAUGGACUCGCGGCUUAUCAGCUUGUUGGUGGGGUAGUGGCUUACCAAGGCUUUGACGGGUAGCCGGCCUGAGAGGGCGACCGGCCACAUUGGGACUGAGAUACGGCCCAGACUCCGACGGGAGGCAGCAGUGGGGAAUAUUGCACAAUGGGCGGAAGCCGGAUGCAGCAACGCCGCGGGCGGGAUGACGGCCUUCGGGUUGUAAACCGCUUUCAGCAGGGGCGAAGCUUGUGGUGACGGUACCUGCAGAAGAAGCACCGGCUAACUACGUG
RNAcentral lists this ribosomal RNA (465 nucleotides) under uncultured bacterium. RNAcentral's name for it is "partial 16S ribosomal RNA". It matches the Rfam family "Bacterial small subunit ribosomal RNA", at positions 28 to 507 of the family's 1533-position model. The record is from RNAcentral.